GGCGCGGUAAAUGGCGCUCUGAGUACUUUCUGUCUCAGUCCGGCUGGCCGCUCACGCGUCGGGCCCCCAUUUACUCUCGUUACUGAGGAGACACGGCUCCAGUUUUGACCCGACUACGGUUGUUUUCUUCGUGUGUACCGCGAAAUGCUGAUGACGUCCGGUUCCGCGCAGUUUUUUUCCUAUUUCGUUUCCAACCACAGUUGUGCGGUUCACAGAUUUUUCCCUUGGGAUGUGUUUUCCAUACCUCCAAGCCCACUCUCAGAGCCUUGGGGCCCCAUAAAACUUCAUGCGCAGCUGCUUUCUGGUAUUUGCAGACCUGGAAGGCUUCUCGUAUUCUUAAUUUGGGGAAGAGAGACAUAGGUUUCCUUGUACAACGGGAUGAGGAUUUAAGAGCAGAACGACACUGAUAUUUUAAAGGCGAGGGUAUUUAGAUUUGUGGAGCUGAAACUUGCCUGAAAAGGGAGACAAAAUUUGGAAGUUUGUUGUGUGCAGUUUCUGCCCCUUACCCCCGCCCUUCACUUUUAAACUGCGCAUAUAUCAACAAUAGUUACGGUUGUUGCAGCAGUCUAAAUUUGAUUAUCAGAAUUGACCCUAGGCAUGAAUUUUUUUUUAAAUAUACCAAUGUCGUGUUAUAUACACUUAUACCAUUAUGUCCAGACUUCUCUUAAGCAUAGUUCGUGGUGGGCAGUUUUGUGGUCAUUUAGGGAUGAACUUGGGUAGGGAAAGCUGAGCAUACAUAAUUUAUUUUAGGAAUGCACCAGUUCUGCCAACAUUUAUCAGAAGUCACGUUUUUAAAAAGCUAUUCUGGAACUGAAGAUGUCAUUGGUUUAUAAGAGGAAAAUGGAAGCCAAAAGCUUACACCUCAUGCUCUAUCUUUAAAAAUUAAGGUGGCAGACACAAUGAGUAGAAGGCUUUUAUGUUACCAGAAUGAAGGCUUAAAAUCUGUCAUUUUAUUGACUCGGCUUUCUUUUUAGAAAUUUCUUUAAGAUAUAAAAGCAAUGUGGAAUAUCACUCUUUCACACUCUUAAAAUAGAUUACGUUCUCUGGAACUUCUCUAAUCUGAAAUGUGUUCAAAAAGGAAAAAGAUCUUUAAAAUACGCCAGUUAGUCUAUGGUAUAAUAUUAAACACUAUUCAUCACUAGAGAAGUUAUGGUGGUAUACCCUCCCCUUUCUCAGAUGUCCACCUUAAUGCCAGAAAUGAGCGGAGUUUCCCUUUGUUGUGCAAAAUGACUGUGUCCUUGAGGGAUGUUUGGAUGCUCUUGGUAAACCGGAAUCAGCCAGAAGCAUAUCCGGUGUUAGCCUUGUUGUGUCAUCAACAUUACAACAGUGAGGAAACCCACAUAUUCCAAUGAAAGAGGAAAACUUAAAGAAGAAGUUUCCAGUGUAUUUUCUUUGAGAUAUAUUUAUUCCUAUGACCUCAGAAGAUCAGCUUUUACCGUCCAAGGUUCACUUUGCCUAAAAGCUGAUUGUUCCUGUGGAAACAGUAGCAUCGGAUGACCCUACAAACAAAGCAUUAUGACAUCAUCAGAGCCAACAACCUGGCAUGACAGAUACUAAUAAGGAAAAAAGAGGUUACAAGAAUUCUGACACUCAUCACAGUGGAUCCAAUAUCUGGUCCCUUGGGUUUCAUAUAUGUUAGAAGUAUCUUCUCAGGAGGGAAAAGUCAAUGCCAGUCAUAUCCUUUCUAGCUAUUAGAAAUGUCCAUCAGCUUACGAGGAGAUUCUCCCUCAUCUCACAAACUACCUGCAUCUCCACUUCCCUGGAAGAAAAAAAAAAUCUGGACAUACCCAAGCUGUGUAUGUGCCUGAGAUCUUCCCUUCCAAGUCUCCUAGGGGCUGAUCUCAGCAGAGAAAUGGAGACAGUUCAGUCACCAACAGUUUGUUACUGGAUUUUGGAAAAGGUACCAAAGUAAGAAUCCAAGGCUUGUAUUCUUAUCUUAGCUCUGUGAUUAACAAGCUUAGGUAAGGCUUCUAAUCUUUCUGGGUUUCUUUCCUUAUCAAUAAAAUGCGCAAGUCAGACUGCAUAAUCUUUAUGGUUUCUUCCAAAUUUCAAAUUCCAUGCAUCUAUUAAAGAGAAUCAAAAUUGUGCAUGAUUUGUCUAAAAUACCAUGUUAAAAAGUCUAAGAUAAAAUGAAAUGGGAAUUACAUACCAUUUUGAGUUUAAAAAUCACUUUUGUAAAUAUAUUAAGGAAUGAACUUGGUUUUAUUGCAAUUUAUGUAGAAAUACUGGGAAGUAGAGGGGGCUUUGAUUAACAAUUUUAAAAUGCUGAUGCAAUCCAGUCGAAAUAUAGAUGGGAUUUCAUAAAGUAGCAAAAAUUCUAUAUUCAUAAUUCAGAGUGAUAACAAAUGCAUAUCUAUAAAGCAAAAGUGUGUUUUUAAAAGUAAUUUUAAAUCCCAGUCAUUUCAUUUAAGUCUUCUAAUAAAGGAUGAAG
RNAcentral lists this long non-coding RNA (2431 nucleotides) under Homo sapiens (human). RNAcentral's name for it is "HSALNT0347759". The record is from RNAcentral. Lineage: Eukaryota; Metazoa; Chordata; Mammalia; Primates; Hominidae.